Non-coding RNA from Parelaphostrongylus tenuis, 71 nucleotides. NCBI's taxonomy places the organism in Eukaryota, Metazoa, Nematoda, Chromadorea, Rhabditida, Metastrongylidae. The record is from the annotation of a GenBank genome assembly.
GCUUCGGCGGUGUAGUGGUAGCACGCGUUCCAGGUAUCAAUGAAACGUGGGUUCGACUCCCGUCUGAGGUC